GACGAACGCUGGCGGCGUGCCUAAUACAUGCAAGUAGAACGCACAGUUUAUACCGUAGCUCGCUACACCAUAGACUCUGAGGUGCGAAUGAGUGAGUAAUGCCCAGCUUACCUGCCUGGUAGCGGUGGAUAACCAUAGGAAACGCUAGCUAAUACCGCAUAAUAUUAAUUAUUGCAAGAUAAUUAAUUGAAUGGCGCAAUUGCACCACUACCAGACGGACCUUGGUUGUGUUAGCUAGUUGGUGAGGUAACGGCUCACCUAGGCGACGAUACAGAGCCGAGCUGAGAGGGUGAUCGGCCACACUGGGACUGAGACACGGCCCAGACCCCUACGGGAGGCAGCAGUAGGGAAGCUUCGGCAAUGGACGAAAGCCUGACCGAGCAACGCCGCGGGAGUGAAGAAGGUUUUCGGAUCGUAAAGCUCUGUUGUAAGUGAAGAACGGGUGUGAGAGUGGAAAGUUCACACUGUGACGGUAUCUUACCAGAAAGGGACGGCUAACUACGUG
RNAcentral lists this ribosomal RNA (505 nucleotides) under uncultured bacterium. Its description in RNAcentral is "partial 16S ribosomal RNA". It matches the Rfam family "Bacterial small subunit ribosomal RNA", at positions 28 to 507 of the family's 1533-position model. The record is from RNAcentral.